RNAcentral lists this ribosomal RNA (240 nucleotides) under Triticum aestivum (bread wheat). RNAcentral's name for it is "partial small subunit ribosomal RNA". The record is from RNAcentral. Lineage: Eukaryota; Viridiplantae; Streptophyta; Magnoliopsida; Poales; Poaceae.
AUGGCAGAGCUGGGUCUUCGGGAAGAGGACCUUGACGAUGUGGUUUUUGACGAGAAGGAGGCACCGCCAGAGGCAGCUCGUUGGAUUGCGCUCGUUAGAGUUCAUACGGCCAAAACCUACAGUCAAUAUUGGUUUUUCAAGAAUAUGAGGGCUGCGUGGGAUCUGGCCCAAGAAGUUCAGUUCAAGCCGCUUAAGGAAAAUUUGUAUACAGUUCAAUUCUCGUGCUUAGGAGAUUGGGAA